CCGAAUGUAGCGUAGCUUGGUAACGCCCUUGUUUUGGGAGCAAGAGAUCGUGGGUUCAAAUCCUUCCAUUCGGACCA
Molecule: transfer RNA, 77 nt
Filed under: Methylotenera sp.
Lineage: Bacteria; Pseudomonadati; Pseudomonadota; Betaproteobacteria; Nitrosomonadales; Methylophilaceae
Description: tRNA-Pro
Rfam family: tRNA
About the family: Transfer RNA (tRNA) molecules are approximately 80 nucleotides in length. Their secondary structure includes four short double-helical elements and three loops (D, anti-codon, and T loops).
Source: RNAcentral